ACCAGGAGCGGUGGCGUGUGCCUGUAGUCCCAGCUACUCUGGAGGCUGAGGUGGGAGGAUCUCCUGAGCCCAGGAAUCGGGUGUCCACACUAAGUUUGGCAUCAAUAUGGUGACCUCCCGGGAGCAGGGGACCGCCAGGUUGCCUAAGGAGCGGUGAACCGGCCCAGGUCAGAAACAGAGCAGGUCAAAACUCCCAUGCUGAUCAGUAGUGGGAUCGCGCCUAUGACAGCCACUGCACUCCUGCCUGGGCAACAUAGCGAUAUCCUGUCACUG
Callithrix jacchus (white-tufted-ear marmoset) is the source of this 273-nucleotide unclassified non-coding RNA. It matches the Rfam family "Metazoan signal recognition particle RNA". From Rfam's summary of the family: The signal recognition particle (SRP) is a universally conserved ribonucleoprotein. It is involved in the co-translational targeting of proteins to membranes. NCBI's taxonomy places the organism in Eukaryota, Metazoa, Chordata, Mammalia, Primates, Cebidae. The record is from Ensembl.